This is a non-coding RNA of Gasterosteus aculeatus aculeatus (three-spined stickleback), 492 nucleotides long. NCBI's taxonomy places the organism in Eukaryota, Metazoa, Chordata, Actinopteri, Perciformes, Gasterosteidae. The record is from RefSeq and is a predicted model, not a curated record.
AAAAAAAUAACACAAAAGAGUGAAAGAAAAGAGUUUUUAUGGAUCCAGAUCCGCUUGAGGACGCUUCUCUGGCGGAUUGUGCGUUGCGGAUGAAGGGUGGAGGUGAACUAAAGGGUGGAGGUGAACUAAAGGGUGGGGUCGCUUCUCUCGGAGGGUAAAUGGAGGCGAGCUGGGUGGAACCAGCUGGACUAGUUGGUUCAGAUCAGAUAACGAGAAUAGAAGAGAAACAGAAACACGAGUUUCUCUCAAUCAGCUGUGCGACAAAAUGCGAUAAGAAGCUGAAGGUGGAGGCCAGAGGAAGGUGGUGCUGAGCCAAAACACCGAAGCUGGUGGAGGAUUAUUUGAAGCAAAACGAGCAGAAAGUUCAAAACUAAGACAUAAAGAAGAAAAAAAUCAUGAUACUCAAAAUGUCGCUGGUCUUCUUUAGAGGAAUCCAGGAGCGAUUUGCACGAAAACGAGUUGCGAUCAAAAGUGAACAAUGUUGCUACAAAA